UACGAAGGGGGCUAGCGUUGCUCGGAAUCACUGGGCGUAAAGCGCACGUAGGCGGGUCGUUAAGUCAGGGGUGAAAUCCUGGAGCUCAACUCCAGAACUGCCCUUGAUACUGGCGAUCUCGAGUUCGGGAGAGGUGAGUGGAACUGCGAGUGUAGAGGUGAAAUUCGUAGAUAUUCGCAAGAACACCAAUGGCGAAGGCGGCUCACUGGCCCGAUACUGACGCUGAGGUGCGAAAGCGUGGGGAGCAAACAGG
RNAcentral lists this ribosomal RNA (253 nucleotides) under uncultured bacterium. RNAcentral describes it as "partial 16S ribosomal RNA". It matches the Rfam family "Bacterial small subunit ribosomal RNA", at positions 524 to 776 of the family's 1533-position model. The record is from RNAcentral.